This 1467-nucleotide ribosomal RNA is filed under the name uncultured bacterium. RNAcentral describes it as "partial 16S ribosomal RNA". It matches the Rfam family "Bacterial small subunit ribosomal RNA". The record is from RNAcentral.
AGAGUUUGAUCCUGGCUCAGACUGAACGCUUGCGGCAGGCCUAAUACAUGCAAGUCGAACGGUAACAUAAGAAAAGCUUGCUUUUCUUGAUGACGAGUGGCGGAUGGGUGAGUAAGAUUUGGGAAACUACCUGAUAGAGGGGGACAACAGUUGGAAACGACUGCUAAUACCGCAUACAGCCUCAGGGUGAAAGAAGCGAUUCGCUAUCAGAUGUGCCCAAACGGGAUUAGCUAGUAGGUGAGGUAAAGGCUCACCUAGGCGACGAUCUCUAGCUGGUCUGAGAGGAUGAUCAGCCACAUUGGGACUGAGACACGGCCCAGACUCCUACGGGAGGCAGCAGUAGGGAAUAUUGCACAAUGGAGGAAACUCCGAUGCAGCCAUGCCGCGUGUGUGAAGAAGGCCUUCGGGUUGUAAAGCACUUUCGGAGGGGAGGAAAAAAAUGACGUUACCCUCAGAAGAAGCACCGGCUAACUCCGUGCCAGCAGCCGCGGUAAUACGGAGGGUGCAAGCGUUAAUCGGAAUAACUGGGCGUAAAGGGCAUGCAGGCGGUUCAUCAAGUAGGAUGUGAAAUCCCCGGGCUCAACCUGGGAACAGCAUACUAAACUGGUGGACUACAGUAUUGCAGGGGGAGACGGAAUUCCAGGUGUAGCGGUGGAAUGCGUACAUAUCUGGAAGUACACCAAGGCGAAGGCAGUCUCCUGGGCAAAUACUGACGCUCAUAUGAGAAAGCGUGGGUAGCAGACAGGAUUAGAUACCCUGGUAGUCCACGCCGUAAACGAUGUCAAUUAGGAGCUUGGGCAAUAGUCUGGGUUCCGCAGCUAACGCAAUAAAUUGACCGCAUGGGGAGUACGGCCGCAAGGUUAGAACUCAAAUGAAACGACGGGGGCCCGCACAAGCGGUGGAGCAUAUGGAUUAAUUGGAUGCUACGAGAAGAACCUUACCUGAUCUUGACAUCGUAAGAACGUCAUUGAAGGGUGAGGCUGCCUUCGGGAACUUACAGACAGGUGAUGCAUGGCUGUCGUCAGGUGGUAUAGUGAGAUGUUGGGCUAAGUCCAGCAAUGAGCGCAACCCUCUCUUUCGAUGCCAGCGGGAAAUCCGGGAACUCAAAGGAGAUCGUCCAGUGACAGAGCGGAGGCAGCCAGGGAUGACGUAUAGUCAUCAUGGACAUUACGGUCAGGGUUACAUACGUGACACAGUGGGGCGAACAGAGGGAAACGAUACCGUCGAGGUGGAGUGGACACCUCAAUAAGCGUCCCUAACUUAUGAUAGGAAUCCACUAAGUCGACUCCUAAGAAAUGAGGAAUCGAGUAGUUAUUACAAAUCAGAAUGAUUCGGAGAAAAUGGUCCUCGGGGCCUAGUACACGAACUGCGCACGUNCAAGGAGUGCAGAACUUCUGAUAGAGAACCAAUGUCAGCGAGCGAGUCACCAUUUAGUUAGCGCUUAUUGUGAGUCUGCAGUCUGGUUUU